UUGGAUUUAAAUCCCAAAUAUAAAGCCAGCCUUUUUUUAGAA
Molecule: transfer RNA, 42 nt
Filed under: Philus antennatus
Lineage: Eukaryota; Metazoa; Arthropoda; Insecta; Coleoptera; Vesperidae
Description: partial tRNA-Leu
Source: RNAcentral